Molecule: transfer RNA, 68 nt
Filed under: Littoraria ardouiniana
Lineage: Eukaryota; Metazoa; Mollusca; Gastropoda; Littorinimorpha; Littorinidae
Description: tRNA-Asn
Source: RNAcentral
ACUGAACGAAAGCCAAAAUAGCGGCGCCUAGCUGUUAAUUAGGAGAUUGUAGGCCUUGCUACUCGUCC